This 210-nucleotide long non-coding RNA is filed under the name Ananas comosus (pineapple). RNAcentral's name for it is "long non-coding RNA (ACOM_LNC036123)". The record is from RNAcentral. Lineage: Eukaryota; Viridiplantae; Streptophyta; Magnoliopsida; Poales; Bromeliaceae.
AAACUAAACCUUUACACAAGUUCUCUGAUUCAUUUUUGAUCAUAUACAUUGCAUUCUUCUUGUACAUUUUCGAUUCUUUACUUUUCAUUACAUCAUUUCAUCAUUUCUUUCUUACAUCACAUUUUCUUCAAAAUAAACCUUAUAUUCUUUUUGUUCUUUGCUUUACGCAUUAACAUCUUAAAUUAUCAAAUACAAAAGAUGAUAAAAGGG